This 553-nucleotide ribosomal RNA is filed under the name Alternaria sp. HL6328S. RNAcentral describes it as "eukaryotic LSU rRNA". The stretch from base 176 to 329 matches the Rfam family "5.8S ribosomal RNA". Lineage: Eukaryota; Fungi; Ascomycota; Dothideomycetes; Pleosporales; Pleosporaceae. The record is from RNAcentral.
AGGCGCAAAAACCCAAUGUAGGAGGCGGGCUGGACCUCUCGGGGUUACAGCCUUGCUGAAUUAUUCACCCUUGUCUUUUGCGUACUUCUUGUUUCCUUGGUGGGUUCGCCCACCACUAGGACAAACAUAAACCUUUUGUAAUUGCAAUCAGCGUCAGUAACAAAUUAAUAAUUACAACUUUCAACAACGGAUCUCUUGGUUCUGGCAUCGAUGAAGAACGCAGCGAAAUGCGAUAAGUAGUGUGAAUUGCAGAAUUCAGUGAAUCAUCGAAUCUUUGAACGCACAUUGCGCCCUUUGGUAUUCCAAAGGGCAUGCCUGUUCGAGCGUCAUUUGUACCCUCAAGCUUUGCUUGGUGUUGGGCGUCUUGUCUCUAGCUUUGCUGGAGACUCGCCUUAAAGUAAUUGGCAGCCGGCCUACUGGUUUCGGAGCGCAGCACAAGUCGCACUCUCUAUCAGCAAAGGUCUAGCAUCCAUUAAGCCUUUUUUUCAACUUUUGACCUCGGAUCAGGUAGGGAUACCCGCUGAACUUAAGCAUAUCAAUAAGCGGAGAGAAA